AGAGCCCACAGCUAAGACUCCUCUGGCAUGAGAAUGACUUCCUCCUCCAAUGCAAAUGUCACAAAGAGGCUCUGAUCCACUCCUAAUCGCUAAUGGAAGCAGAACCAUCCAGCUCCUACAGAACACAACCUCCCACCACCUCUGAUGAGACUUCAUCUUCUUUGAAUGACGAUGGUGCAGCUGGAGAUUAUGAAGAGUAUGUACCACUUGUUUGUCAGCCGUCUUCAAGGGGUGGAAGAGCCCCAAUCACAAAAAGAAAGACAAGCACGCCCWAAACAGCAAGAAAACGACAGAAAGUAAGCACCUCAACCCACCAACAUGAACACCAGGAUAUUUGGCACAAUGCAGAUGAACCYGAUAUGGAGCCAAAAUGUCCAACAUUUUCACCAAAGAGACCUCCAGGACCACAGAUUGACACCACACAAACCUGGUCACCCCUGAGCUUGUUCAAGCUUUUCUUUAGUGCAGUCACCAUUCGGCAGAUCAUGUACAACACAAACAAAAAUGCUGAAAGUUUAGGUGCAGCUGAGAAAAAAUUCAAAUGGUCACCUUUGACAGUGGAAGAUUCCUACCAAUUUUUAGCCAUCAUUAUUUUCACAGGAUUGGUACAAGUCCCUUCAAAACCAGACUUUUGGAGAACAAAGGGGCCGUAUAAUUUCCCCUUUCCAUGCCAAUGCAUGACCCGUGACAGAUUCGACUCCAUCUUUUGGUCCCUUCACCUGUCCAACAUAAAAGACGAUGCAGAAAAUGAGAAGAAAAAAAAAGGGAACACCUCAGUAUGAUUGGCUAUUCAAAGUUAGACAGCUAUAUGAUGAGAUCAGACUUGCCUGCAAGUCUGUGUUUCAACCAAGCAGAGAAAUAUACAUUGACAAACGGAUGGUGGCCAGUAAAGCUCGAACUGACUUCAAACAAUUUAUGAAGGACAAGCCUACCAGGUUUGGAUAUAAACUAUAUGUUUUGGCCGAUUCCAGGACUGGGUAUACUUGGAAUUUUUUCAUCUACAAGGGAAAGUCCAGCAUUGUUUGAGAAGAAGGCUCAGCACCACAUGUGUCAUGGACYUCAUGGAUUUUGGACUUUUAGGAAAGGCUAUCAUUUAUAUGUGGACAAUUUCUAUAGUAGUCCUUACUUAUUUCAAAAACUGGUUUCCAACAACACUGCUGUAUGUGGCACCAUCUGCCAAAAUUCCGUGGGAUUCCCCAAAACRACUCAUAACAACCUUCCAAGAUCUACACAGAGGGGAGAGAUGAGGUGGAUACGCAAAGACGGACUACUAUUUAUCAAGUGGAAGGACACCAAGGAGGUGACAAUCUGCAGUACCUUUCACAGAGUUUACAGUGAAGAAAUUGUAUGGAGGAGAGUCAAAGGGGCAGGGCRAGGGGUAGUGAAAGAUGUUACCAUGCCUGACUCUGUGAAAUACUACAAUAAAUUAAUGGGAGGAGUCGACUUGUCCGAUGCCCUGAUCCAGUACUAUUYAGUCAGAAGCAAGACCAUGAAGUGGUAUAAGACUUUAUUUUACCAUUUCAUUGAAAUUUCUGUUGUAAAUAGUUUCAUCCUUUUCAAAAUGCUGGCCAUCAAAAGAGGGGAAAUACCCAUUUCCCAGGGAAAAUUCCGGGAGAAACUUACGAAGGAGCUGAUAUAGGAGUCUAAAGCAGCUGCAGCUUUUCCUCAACCAAGCACAUCAGCUUCUGCUCAACCCAGGCCAUUCAUAGAAUGCACCAUGCCCAGAUACUUUGGAGGAACAGCAGGGUGUGUGCGUGGUGCAAUCCUGUUUGCACCACACACAGGAUUUGUGUGUGGUGCAAACAGAAUGGCAGUACCAAGAAAACGCUGCUGUAUUAUCCCAAAUGUGAAGUGGCCCUCYGUCUUCAGUCAGACAGAAAUUGUUUUGAGGACUACCACAAAACUUGUAGGUUGUGCUUUUUUGUGUGUUGAACUUGUUAAUUUUUUUGGUGGUGGUUUUUCAAAAUUGUUUGUUCUUUGAAACUAUUAUUGCUAUUYUUUUGUACAUAGUUUUGUUUUAAAAUGUAUUAUUAUUUGUUACCUGUACUUCAAAAAGAUUUUUUUACUGGUUUACUGUGUUUCAAAAGAGUUAGGGUCAAACUGGGGUUAGGGUCUGUCAAACUUUUUCUAUCCAAGGAAAACCAGGGACAAUUGCUGCAGUAAUCUCGUUCCCUAGAAAACGUAUAUGGGKAAAAUGAAUUUUUGGAAGCUUUAUGCCUCAACUUUACUGGAAUCCUUAAUAUGAAGAAUGCAUGUGGAAACAGUAGAAACUAAAAGUAAAUUUUAUGAGGAGUAAACCCUCAGUAGAACCUGUCUGGCUCACGUGGUCAUUCAAGGGGAGAUGUACUCAGUGUGUGGUUGAAUGUGAAUGUGUGAAUCACUGUAGUAUGAAACASUUCGGGGUCCUCCAGACUUCAUAAAAUAAAGUUAUCCAAGUAAAGACCAUUUACUCCAUUUAUUUUCUAUCUUACUGAAACAAUUAGUCUUUGGGA
This is a non-coding RNA of Poecilia reticulata (guppy), 2492 nucleotides long. The record is from RefSeq and is a predicted model, not a curated record. Lineage: Eukaryota; Metazoa; Chordata; Actinopteri; Cyprinodontiformes; Poeciliidae.